RNAcentral lists this ribosomal RNA (253 nucleotides) under uncultured bacterium. RNAcentral describes it as "partial 16S ribosomal RNA". It matches the Rfam family "Bacterial small subunit ribosomal RNA", at positions 524 to 776 of the family's 1533-position model. The record is from RNAcentral.
UACGUAGGGUGCAAGCGUUAAUCGGAAUUACUGGGCGUAAAGCGUGCGCAGGCGGCUUUGCAAGACAGAUGUGAAAUCCCCGGGCUCAACCUGGGAACUGCAUUUGUGACUGCAUCGCUGGAGUGCGGCAGAGGGGGAUGGAAUUCCGCGUGUAGCAGUGAAAUCCGUAGAUAUUGGGAGGAACACCGAUGGCGUAGGCAGAUAACUGGCUCGUUCCUGACACUAAGGCACGAAAGCGUGGGGAGCAAACGGG